Transfer RNA from Metschnikowia bicuspidata var. bicuspidata NRRL YB-4993, 72 nucleotides. It matches the Rfam family "tRNA". From Rfam's summary of the family: Transfer RNA (tRNA) molecules are approximately 80 nucleotides in length. The record is from Rfam. Lineage: Eukaryota; Fungi; Ascomycota; Pichiomycetes; Serinales; Metschnikowiaceae.
UGACAUAUAACACAAUGGUUAGGGUAUUAUUCCUUGGAAAUAUAAAUGUAAGUUCAACUCUUACUAUGUCUU